UCAAUAAUUCAGGGGGAGCAUGCUCAUAAGGGUAAAAUAGAAUAUUGACUAGACAUGAGUUAAAACAUAUAUGCCAUCGACAAAGGGGGAGAAUGUAGAAUCAAAAUUGUCGACAUAGGAUUAUAUUUUAAUCAUGUCAAUUUAAACCCUAAUUACACUAUUAAUCAAUAGGGGUUAAAUAAAUCAAUCGAUAUUAAACCUAACUCUAGUUAAUUAAUUAAUCAUUUGAGUUAAGGGUUUAAGUCAAAGUUAAAAGUCAAAUUGGGAGAAUUGCAUUUUCACCUUGAAUAUUAUUAUUUGGAAUAAUUGCAUUUUUACCUUGAAUAUUAUUAUUAUUAUCUUUUGACACUUUAUUCAAGGUAUAAUAUUCCAAGGGGACAAAACACUAUUCAAGUUUGAAUUUAUACAAAGAUAAGAUUCUCCAACAAACUCUAUCCAAGAAAAGCACUAUUCAAGAUAAGAUCAAAGACAAAACUUGGAUUUUUGUGAGAAAUCAAGGAGCCAUCCAUUGAAGAUCCAAGGGUGGACAUUGAGUGGCCAAGGCUAUAAAUAGAAGGGUAAUCCCCUCAUUUUCACUCACCACACUACAAGCAAACUCAAGAGCUUUCACUCCACACUUGCCCACACGUUUUUGCCUCCAAGCUUCCAAGCUUUCAAGUGCUCAAGUGUCCUAGAUUUCCAAAGCUUCAAAAGCUCUCCAACUUCUUCUUCUAAUCUUCUUGUUCAUCUUUACAAGUAAGAACUGUGGUUUGCUUUAAUAUUCCACUCCUCUAAUCACCUCUUGUGUGUGUCCACUUUGGUUGAGAGGGUUGUCUCAAUAGUACCAAAGUGUGAGAGAAGGUUUUCGAGCUCAACCAUAAAGCUCUAAUUUGGUUUUAUAGAGUUUCUAGGAAAACUCUUAGGUCGAAUCUAUCUUGAAAGAUUUCUAGGUUUUUAAGAGUUCCUUGAUACUCUAAGGUACUAACUUACCCGUAAAAGUUAGAGGUUCUUAAGAGUGCCCUCGAUACUGUAAGGUGUGAGUCUACCCGUAAAAGACUGGUUCCUAAGCGAAGUAGCCUUAAAGCUUAGAGAGGUUUUUAAGAGUUCCUUGAUACUCUAAGGUACUAAACCGCAAAAGUUAGAGGUUAUUAAGAGUGCCCUUGAUACUCUAAGGUGUGAGUCUACCCGUAAAAGACUGGUUCCUAAGCGAAGUAGCCUUAAAGCUUAGAGAGGUUCUUAAGAGUUUCCUUGAUACUCUAAGGUUUUGCCAUAACCUUUAGGCGAGUGAAUUCCGACAGUUGGUCGGGACUGGAUUAGCCCUUGUUUGGGUGAACCAGUAUAAAUCUCUUGUGUUGUUCUUUGUUAACUUUAGUUUUUAUCUUUCAUCUAAAAACAACUAAACAACACUUAAUUGAAAAGGAUCCCUCUUCCAGUUAUCUGGUCAAAUACAGAGGUUGACUACUUUACGUAGAUCCCUCAUCCAGUUAUCUGGUCAACUAUUUGAGGUUAUAU
Molecule: long non-coding RNA, 1491 nt
Filed under: Zostera marina
Lineage: Eukaryota; Viridiplantae; Streptophyta; Magnoliopsida; Alismatales; Zosteraceae
Description: long non-coding RNA (ZMAR_LNC002380)
Source: RNAcentral